Molecule: ribosomal RNA, 767 nt
Filed under: uncultured organism
Description: SSU rRNA
Rfam family: Bacterial small subunit ribosomal RNA
Source: RNAcentral
GGAUGAACGCUAGCUACAGGCUUAACACAUGCAAGUCGAGGGGCAGCAUUUCAGUUUGCUUGCAAACUGGAGAUGGCGACCGGCGCACGGGUGAGUAACACGUAUCCAACCUGCCGAUAACUCGGGGAUAGCCUUUCGAAAGAAAGAUUAAUACCCGAUGGUAUAAUCAGACCGCAUGGUCUUGUUAUUAAAGAAUUUCGGUUAUCGAUGGGGAUGCGUUCCAUUAGGCAGUUGGUGAGGUAACGGCUCACCAAACCUUCGAUGGAUAGGGGUUCUGAGAGGAAGGUCCCCCACAUUGGAACUGAGACACGGUCCAAACUCCUACGGGAGGCAGCAGUGAGGAAUAUUGGUCAAUGGGCGCAGGCCUGAACCAGCCAAGUAGCGUGAAGGAUGACUGCCCUAUGGGUUGUAAACUUCUUUUAUAUGGGAAUAAAGUUUCCCACGUGUGGAAUUUUGUAUGUACCAUAUGAAUAAGGAUCGGCUAACUCCGUGCCAGCAGCCGCGGUAAUACGGAGGAUCCGAGCGUUAUCCGGAUUUAUUGGGUUUAAAGGGAGCGUAGGUGGACAGUUAAGUCAGUUGUGAAAGUUUGCGGCUCAACCGUAAAAUUGCAGUUGAUACUGGCUGUCUUGAGUACAGUAGAGGUGGGCGGAAUUCGUGGUGUAGCGGUGAAAUGCUUAGAUAUCACGAAGAACUCCGAUUGCGAAGGCAGCUUACUAACCUGUAACUGACAUUGAUGCUCGAAAGUGUGGGUAUCAAACAGGAUUAGA